AUGUUCAAUUACACAAACUCAAUGAUGCAUGUCGAGAGUUAUACCCUCUCGUAAAUCAAGUAUAUUUUAAAAUAGUCGCAAACGACGAAACUUACGCUCUAGCAGCCUAAGGGUUGCUUGGGUCGUCACUAACUACCUAUGGUUAGGUUGAUCACCCCGAAGCGAAUGCACAUAGGUCCGUCUUGUUAGGUGUCUUAACUAAUGAGAUUAAAUUUUAAAGACUCGUCCAAUUCUACCUGACUGUCGGUUCGAUGCGGAUUAAAUUUAUAGACAGACCCUAAACAUGUAGAUUCAUGAGCGUAAUGCUGGCGGACGCGGGUUCAACUCCCGCCAUCUCCACCA
Molecule: transfer-messenger RNA, 342 nt
Filed under: Gammaproteobacteria bacterium
Lineage: Bacteria; Pseudomonadati; Pseudomonadota; Gammaproteobacteria
Rfam family: transfer-messenger RNA
About the family: Bacterial tmRNA, also known as 10Sa RNA or SsrA, is named for its dual tRNA and mRNA-like properties.
Source: RNAcentral